Oreochromis niloticus (Nile tilapia) is the source of this 579-nucleotide non-coding RNA. The record is from the annotation of a RefSeq genome assembly. NCBI's taxonomy places the organism in Eukaryota, Metazoa, Chordata, Actinopteri, Cichliformes, Cichlidae.
UGCUGAAGUAAGAUAUUGGUCUGUAGUCUACUGUUGUAGUUUCAACAUGGUGAUGUUGUUAAAGUGAAUAGUGUAACAUGGUUGCGAUACUCAGCACACCACUAAUUUUAAUUUCAUCAGGGAGAAGCUGCCCUUCACGAGGAGGUGGAGUCAAUGCAAAGCACUGAUAGCUUCUACCUCUUUAUGUCUGACUGUAGCGAUGAGGACAGAGAACAGUGGACACAGGCUGACAUGAUGGACUGUAGGACAGGACUGCUGCUUAUAACUCUCUGCUUGGCAGGUGUUAAUGGUCAGACUCUGACAGAAUCUGAACCAGCAGUUAAACAACCUGGUCAGUCUCACAGAUUGACCUGUACAGCAUCUGGAUUCGCACUCAGCAGCUACUGGAUUCACUGGAUCAGACAGGCUCCUGGAAAAGGCUUGGAGUGGAUUGCAACUGAUACUACAAGUAGCACCAAGUACUAUUCACAGUCAGUCCGAGGCAGGUUUACCAUCUCCAGAGACAACAGCAGAGAGCAGCUGUAUCUGCAGAUGAACAGCCUGAAGACUGACGAUUCUGCUGUUUAUUAUUGUGCCUGA